GAUGAACGCUGGCGGCGUGCCUAAUACAUGCAAGUCGAGCGAACAGGUGAGGAUCUUGCUCCUCUCACGUUUGCGGCGCACGUGUGAGUAACACGUGGAUCACCUACCUAUCAGUCUGGUAUAACUUCGGGAAACCGGAGCUAAUACCGGAUAAUAUAUUGAACCACAUGGUUGAAUGGUGAAAGACGGUUUUGCUGUCUCUUCUAGAUGGAUCCGCGCGGUAUUAGCUAGUUGGUAAGGUAACGGCUUACCAAGGCAACGAGGCGUUGCCGAACUGAUAGGGUGAUAGGCGACACUGGAAGGGAGACACGGACCAGAGUCCUACGGGAGGCAGCAGUAGGCAACGGGCGGCAGUGGGCGGAAGUAUGACGGAGUAAGGGGGAGCGAGUGGCAGAGGCGUCCGGAGCGUAAAGAUGUGUUUCUGGUGGAGAACAAAUGUGGAAGGAAAUAUGCACGGAUUGACGGUACCUAGUAAGAAAGCCCCGGCUAACUACGUG
This 497-nucleotide ribosomal RNA is filed under the name uncultured bacterium. RNAcentral's name for it is "partial 16S ribosomal RNA". It matches the Rfam family "Bacterial small subunit ribosomal RNA", at positions 28 to 507 of the family's 1533-position model. The record is from RNAcentral.